This 240-nucleotide ribosomal RNA is filed under the name Triticum aestivum (bread wheat). RNAcentral describes it as "partial small subunit ribosomal RNA". Lineage: Eukaryota; Viridiplantae; Streptophyta; Magnoliopsida; Poales; Poaceae. The record is from RNAcentral.
AUGCUAGAGCUCUCUUCCAGCAGGUCGACGAGCGCGCAGCGACGAAGGAACCCGACGGCGACGGUAAGCUUCUUCCUUCUCCGUGCUCUCGCUACACCCCAAUUUUUGCCCGUGCCUCCGCUCCCGCGCCCCCUUGUUCUCCUCCCCCACGGCGCCUCCUCCCUCCCUCUUUCUCACCAGCGGUCCCCUCCGUCUCCCAUGGCGCACGCCCCCCUUCCUCCCGCCUCCUCGUUGUUGUGA